RNAcentral lists this ribosomal RNA (482 nucleotides) under Hipponix sp. RC-2002. RNAcentral describes it as "partial 16S ribosomal RNA". It matches the Rfam family "Bacterial large subunit ribosomal RNA", at positions 1831 to 2597 of the family's 2925-position model. Lineage: Eukaryota; Metazoa; Mollusca; Gastropoda; Littorinimorpha; Hipponicidae. The record is from RNAcentral.
CUCUAUGAAUAUAUAUAGAGUCUGACCUGCCCAGUGUGAAAGGUUAUUAACGGCCGCAGUAUUCUGACUGUGCAAAGGUAGCAUAAUCACUUGUCUCUUAAUUGGGGACUGGUAUGAAUGGUUUGACAAGGGCUGAGCUGUCUCGGGACACAUAAUUAGAAUUUAACUUACAGGUGAAAAGGCCUGUAUUGAAUUGAUAGACAAGAAGACCCUAUCGAGCUUGAAGUCAAAGCGGUGAGCUGUACUGGUGGAAACUUUUGGUUGGGGCGACAGAGGAAUACAGAAAACUUCCUUUAAAAAGUCGGAGUACUUAUAGGUUAUGAUCCAUUGUAUGAUCAAAAGAAAAGCUACCGUAGGGAUAACAGCGUAAUUUUCUUUUAGAGUUCUUAUCGAAAAGAAAGUUUGCGACCUCGAUGUUGGACUAGAGGGGCCAAAAGGUGCAGAAGCCUUUUAGGGCUAGUCUGUUCGACUAUUAAAUCUCU